AUGCAGUCAGCCAAUGGUAUCCAGAGGGCCAAGGUGCAAGACUUCAAGGCAUCACCUGAGUCUCCAGCAUUAAAUCAUGCAGGACACAAAAAGGAGAAAGAGAACAUCCCUCCGGUGUCAUGUAUGGAGAUCAAAAGGAUACAAGACCUACCUGAAGCUGUAACCAUGGGAAAAAGUCCAGAACAAAAGUUGCUAAGAGCCCUAGGGAAAUUGCCUGUCUGCUCAACUGUACUUGCCCAACCUGAGGCCACAAGUGUUCCAGAAGCAGUAGAAGCAACUGGCCACGGGAACAUUCACCAUUUCUAUGAUGUGGAGGAGCGGUACCAUGAUUUCAUGCGUGUUAGUGGGAAUACAAGCAAUGCACUAGAAAUCAAUGUUCUAGAUGUGAGUGAGCUGUUUGCAACGUGUGUUGAUCCAAACAACAAGAAUGCCCAAUCCAACUCCAUAAAUCACAGUUCAGCGAAUAAAGAUAAACAACAUUUUGAGCAAAGGGACACCGAAAGAUCAAAUGAGUUUUUCAGAGAGUACUACCCAACACCAAGUUUCGAUCUAGGCAUAGAUGAUUUCCACACAAGAUCUGCAGACAACACAACACAUCAACAUGUUGGGUCAAGCACAUUUGCAGAGCAUGAGUUGAAGGAACUCCCAGUACAUAACCAGCCAAUCAUCAAUAUAACCAACGACUAUUAUCUGUUGGAUGUUGAAGGCAUAGAUGAACCGUGUGUUCAAGCAGAAGGAAAUGCGUACCAAACACCUGAAAAAAGUUCCAACCAAGGAGAAGUGGGGUCAAGCAGCAAGGUUUAUAGCAGUAGUAGUUCAGGAGAGAUGCAUCCACAUCAAUUCGAGAGAAGGAUUAUCAAGCCACCUCCUUGCAAGAGGUCACCUUUCAUUGACUAUAAUGAGAAGAAAGUCUUCAUGUCCAAACCCGAAGCAAAUAGAUUGUAUGCAUCAGUUAUUUUGCAUGGAAGAAUUAAUGAAGAAGAAUCACUAGAUGUGGAUACCAGCGCAAGGGUAAUUGAAUAUGGCAAAUACUUUGUCACGUCAGGGAGCUCGCAAACUCAAUGA
RNAcentral lists this ribosomal RNA (1065 nucleotides) under Triticum aestivum (bread wheat). RNAcentral's name for it is "partial small subunit ribosomal RNA". The record is from RNAcentral. Lineage: Eukaryota; Viridiplantae; Streptophyta; Magnoliopsida; Poales; Poaceae.